GAACGCACAUUGCGCCCCCUGGUAUUCCGGGGGGCAUGCCUGUUCGAGCGUCAUUUCACCACUCAAGCCUCGCUUGGUAUUGGGCGUCGCGAGUCUCUCGCGCGCCUCAAAGUCUCCGGCUGUUUGACCCGUCUCCCAGCGUUGUGGCAACUAUUUCGCAGUGGAGUUCGAGUUGGAUCGGCCGUUAAAUCUUUCAAAGGUUGACCUCGGAUCAGGUAGGGAUACCCGCUGAACUUAAG
RNAcentral lists this unclassified non-coding RNA (239 nucleotides) under uncultured Mycosphaerellaceae. Its description in RNAcentral is "sequence contains 5.8S rRNA gene". The stretch from base 1 to 53 matches the Rfam family "5.8S ribosomal RNA", at positions 102 to 154 of the family's 154-position model. The record is from RNAcentral. Lineage: Eukaryota; Fungi; Ascomycota; Dothideomycetes; Mycosphaerellales; Mycosphaerellaceae.